Molecule: ribosomal RNA, 406 nt
Filed under: uncultured bacterium
Lineage: Bacteria
Description: partial 16S ribosomal RNA
Rfam family: Bacterial small subunit ribosomal RNA
Source: RNAcentral
CUUGAACGCUGGCGGCAGGCUUAACACAUGCAAGUCGAGCGAGCGGCGGACGGGUGAGUAAUGUCUGGGAAACUGCCAGAGGGAGGGGGAUAACUACUGGAAACGGUAGCUAAUACCGCAUACCCUCAGAUGUGCCCAGAUGGGAUUAGCUAGUAGGUGGGGUAAUGGCUCACUUAGGCGACGAUCCCUAGCUGGUCUGAGAGGAUGACCAGCCACACGGGAACUGAGACACGGGCCAGUAUCCUACGGAAGGCAGCAGUGGAGAAUAUUGCACAAUGGGCGCAAGCCUAAUGCAGCCAGGCAGAGUGUGUGAAGAAGGCCUUCGGGUUGUAAAGCACUUGCAGCGAGGAGGCGUUAAUCGCAGAAGAAGCACCGGCUAACUCCGUGCCAGCAGCCGCGGUAAUAC